AGAGUUUGAUCAUGGCUCAGGAUGAACGCUAGCUACAGGCUUAACACAUGCAAGUCGAGGGGAAACGACAUCGAAAGCUUGCUUUUGAUGGGCGUCGACCGGCGCACGGGUGAGUAACGCGUAUCCAACCUGCCCAUCACUUGGGGAUAACCUUGCGAAAGUAAGACUAAUACCCAAUGACGUCUCUAGAAGACAUCUGAAAGAGAUUAAAGAUUUAUCGGUGAUGGAUGGGGAUGCGUCUGAUUAGCUUGUUGGCGGGGUAACGGCCCACAAGGCGACGAUCAGUAGGGGUUCUGAGAGGAAGGUCCCCCANAUUGGAACUGAGACGCGGUCCAAACGUCCUACGGGAGGCA
Molecule: ribosomal RNA, 353 nt
Filed under: uncultured bacterium
Lineage: Bacteria
Description: bacterial SSU rRNA
Rfam family: Bacterial small subunit ribosomal RNA
Source: RNAcentral